GACGAACGCUGGCGGCGUGCUUAACACAUGCAAGUCGAACGAUGAAGCCCAGCUUGCUGGGUGGAUUAGUGGCGAACGGGUGAGUAAUACGUGAGUAACCUGCCUUUAACUCUGGGAUAAGCCUUGGAAACGGGGUCUAAUACCGGAUACGACCAACCCUCGCAUGGGGUGUUGGUGGAAAGGGAUUUUGUACUGGUUUUAGAUGGGCUCACGGCCUAUCAGCUUGUUGGUGAGGUAACGGCUCACCAAGGCGACGACGGGUAGCCGGCCUGAGAGGGUGACCGGCCACACUGGGACUGAGACACGGCCCAGACUCCUACGGGAGGCAGCAGUGGGGAAUAUUGCACAAUGGGCGCAAGCCUGAUGCAGCGACGCCGCGUGAGGGAUGACGGCCUUCGGGUUGUAAACCUCUUUCAGCAGGGGAGAAGCGAAAGUGACGGUACCUGCAGAAGAAGCGCCGGCUAACUACGUGCCAGCAGCCGCGGUAAUACGUAGGGCGCGAGCGUUGUCCGGAAUUAUUGGGCGUAAAGAGCUUGUAGGGCGGUUUGUCGCGUCUGCUGUGAAAGCCCGGGGCUUAACCCCGGGUUUGCAGUGGGUACGGGCAGACUAGAGUGCAGUAGGGGAGACUGGAAUUCCUGGUGUAGCGGUGAAAUGCGCAGAUAUCAGGAGGAACACCAAUGGCGAAGGCAGGUCUCUGGGCUGUAACUGACGCUGAGAAGCGAAAGCAUGGGGAGCGAACAGGAUUAGAUACCCUGGUAGUCCAUGCCGUAAACGUUGGGCACUAGGUGUGGGGAACAUUCCACGUUUUCCGCGCCGUAGCUAACGCAUUAAGUGCCCCGCCUGGGGAGUACGGCCGCAAGGCUAAAACUCAAAGAAAUUGACGGGGGCCCGCACAAGCGGCGGAGCAUGCGGAUUAAUUCGAUGCAACGCGAAGAACCUUACCAAGGCUUGACAUAUACUGGACCGCCUCAGAGAUGGGGUUUCCCUUUUAGGGCUGGUAUACAGGUGGUGCAUGGUUGUCGUCAGCUCGUGUCGUGAGAUGUUGGGUUAAGUCCCGCAACGAGCGCAACCCUCGUUCUAUGUUGCCAGCACGUAAUGGUGGGGACUCAUAGGAGACUGCCGGGGUUAACUCGGAGGAAGGUGGGGAUGACGUCAAAUCAUCAUGCCCCUUAUGUCUUGGGCUUCACGCAUGCUACAAUGGCCGGUACAAAGGGUUGCGAUACUGUGAGGUUGAGCUAAUCCCAAAAAGCCGGUCUCAGUUCGGAUUGGGGUCUGCAACUCGACCCCAUGAAGUCGGAGUCGCUAGUAAUCGCAGAUCAGCAACGCUGCGGUGAAUACGUUCCCGGGCCU
RNAcentral lists this ribosomal RNA (1350 nucleotides) under uncultured bacterium. RNAcentral describes it as "bacterial SSU rRNA". It matches the Rfam family "Bacterial small subunit ribosomal RNA", at positions 28 to 1381 of the family's 1533-position model. The record is from RNAcentral.